Molecule: ribosomal RNA, 537 nt
Filed under: uncultured bacterium
Lineage: Bacteria
Description: partial 16S ribosomal RNA
Rfam family: Bacterial small subunit ribosomal RNA
Source: RNAcentral
UGGGGAAUAUUGCACAAUGGGCGAAAGCCUGAUGCAGCGACGCCGCGUGAGGGAUGACGGCCUUCGGGUUGUAAACCUCUUUCAGCAGGGAAGAAGCGAAAGUGACGGUACCUGCAGAAGAAGCGCCGGCUAACUACGUGCCAGCAGCCGCGGUAAUACGUAGGGCGCAAGCGUUGUCCGGAAUUAUUGGGCGUAAAGAGCUCGUAGGCGGUUAGUCGCGUCUGCUGUGAAAACUCGAGGCUCAACCUCGGGCUUGCAGUGGGUACGGGCUGACUAGAGUGCGGUAGGGGUGACUGGAAUUCCUGGUGUAGCGGUGGAAUGCGCAGAUAUCAGGAGGAACACCGAUGGCGAAGGCAGGUCACUGGGCCGCAACUGACGCUGAGGAGCGAAAGCAUGGGGAGCGAACAGGAUUAGAUAGCCCUGGUAGUCCAUGCCGUAAACGUUGGGCACUAGGUGUGGGUCCAUUCCACGGAUUCCGUGCCGCAGCAAAGCGCAUUAAGUGCCCCGCCUGGGGAGUACGGCCGCAAGGCUAAACUC